Long non-coding RNA from Toxorhynchites rutilus septentrionalis, 637 nucleotides. RefSeq lists it as uncharacterized. NCBI's taxonomy places the organism in Eukaryota, Metazoa, Arthropoda, Insecta, Diptera, Culicidae. The transcript is spliced from 3 exons. The record is from RefSeq and is a predicted model, not a curated record.
AACCUCUGUACUGAUGAUGCGACGAUGUACCGCAACAAGCACCCCGCCGCCAGUUCGCUUAUCGCUAUUAAGCGUGUUUCUGUCGAAACGAUAGACCAAAAAACACGAAGGAAAUAGUAUACCGUCUUGUACAGAAGAGUCCAGGGUUUCCCACGAUCAGCGGAGCAACAGGACGAAACUCUAUUCCAUCGGUAACAACAGAUAGAAUUCCUCACACAAAUUUCCGUUAUUGCUGCAUCGCAACCGUCGGCUGGAUGGGAGCAGCGAGCGGUGUGGAGAAACAGUCCCGCUGCUGCGAUGGACUAUCUCGUCGUCGCUCGUCUCGAAAAAUAGUGUUGUUACGUUCGGUACCCACAAACUCGCGGAAAUAAAUUCCCUUUUGCCAGCUUGUUGGCUGCAUUGCUCUUUCCUUCCACUUCAUCCCCACUCCGAUCCUGAACGAUAUGAAGGAGAGUUGAUUGAGAUCAACUCCUCUUCGAACCAACUUGAUCACUUCAACCGAUUCAUUCAUUUCUAGAUUCCGCUGUACGAGACUUGAGAUCUCCUCCACAGUGGCGUGUGGAGAAAAUCUCGAUAAAAACAGCCAGAAUUUAGGUUCUCGUGCAGCGGUAUGCACGAUUGGAACGGACAAAGCGGG